GGGUUAAGUCCCCGCAACGAGCGCAACCCCCGCCGUUAGUUGCCAGCGGUUCGGCCGGGCACUCUAACGGGGACUGCCCGCGAAAGCGGGAGGAAGGAGGGGACGACGUCUGGUCUGCAUGGCCCUUACGGCCUGGGCGACACACGUGCUACAAUGCCCACUACAAAGCGAUGCCACCCGGCAACGGGGAGCUAAUCGCAAAAAGGUGGGCCCAGUUCGGAUUGGGGUCUGCAACCCGACCCCAUGAAGCCGGAAUCGCUAGUAAUCGCGGAUCAGCCAUGCCGCGGUGAAUACGUUCCCGGGCCUU
RNAcentral lists this ribosomal RNA (307 nucleotides) under uncultured Thermus sp. Its description in RNAcentral is "bacterial SSU rRNA". It matches the Rfam family "Bacterial small subunit ribosomal RNA", at positions 1077 to 1382 of the family's 1533-position model. Lineage: Bacteria; Thermotogati; Deinococcota; Deinococci; Thermales; Thermaceae. The record is from RNAcentral.